UACGUAGGGGGCGAGCGUUGUUCGGAUUUACUGGGCGUAAAGAGCGCGUAGGUGGUUCGAUAAGUCAGAGGUGAAAUCCCUCGGCUCAACCGAGGACCCGCGUCUGAUACUGUCGAACUUGAGUGCAGGAGAGGAGAGCGGAAUUCCGAGUGUAGCGGUGAAAUGCGUAGAUAUUCGGAGGAACACCGGUGGCGAAGGCGGCUCUCUGGACUGUCACUGACACUGAGGCGCGAAAGCUAGGGGAG
RNAcentral lists this ribosomal RNA (245 nucleotides) under uncultured bacterium. Its description in RNAcentral is "partial 16S ribosomal RNA". It matches the Rfam family "Bacterial small subunit ribosomal RNA", at positions 524 to 768 of the family's 1533-position model. The record is from RNAcentral.